UACAGAGGGUGCAAGCGUUGUUCGGAAUUACUGGGCGUAAAGGGCGUGUAGGCGGCUUAGUAAGUCAGAUGUGAAAGCCCGGGGCUUAACCUCGGAAGUGCAUUUGAAACUGCUAGGCUAGAGUGAGGUAGAGGUUGGUGGAAUUCCCAGUGUAGAGGUGAAAUUCGUAGAUAUUGGGAGGAACACCGGUGGCGAAAGCGGCCAACUGGGCCUUAACUGACGCUGAGGCGCGAAAGCGUGGGGAGCAAACAGG
This 253-nucleotide ribosomal RNA is filed under the name uncultured bacterium. RNAcentral's name for it is "partial 16S ribosomal RNA". It matches the Rfam family "Bacterial small subunit ribosomal RNA", at positions 524 to 776 of the family's 1533-position model. The record is from RNAcentral.